CCCUUAGAUGUUCUGGGCUGCACGCGUGCUACACUGAUAUUGCCAAUAUGUCAUUCUUAUCCGAAAUGGAUUGGGUAAUCAAGUAAUGAAAUUUCAUGCUUGGAAUCGGUAAUUGCAAUUUUAUCGUGAACGAGGAAUUCCUAGUAAGCACUAGUCAUCAGCUAAUGUUGAUUAUGUCCCUGCCCUUUGUACACACCGCCCGUCGCUACUACUGAUUGGGUGUUCAAGUGAGAUGCUUAGACCCUUGUUGCAUGGUUCAUUAUUGUGCUCCGAAAGGAAAAAAUUUCAAGCUUGAGUGUCUAGAGGAAGUAAAAGUCGUAACA
Molecule: ribosomal RNA, 323 nt
Filed under: uncultured eukaryote
Lineage: Eukaryota
Description: partial 18S ribosomal RNA
Rfam family: Eukaryotic small subunit ribosomal RNA
Source: RNAcentral